CAGUCGCCACGGUAAUACGUAGGUGGCAAGCGUUGUCCGGAAUUAUUGGGCGUAAGGGGCUCGCAGGCGGUUUCUUAAGUCUGAUGUGAAAGCCCCCGGCUCAACCGGGGAGGGUCAUUGGAAACUGGGAAACUUGAGUGCAGAAGAGGAGAGUGGAAUUCCACGUGUAGCGGUGAAAUGCGUAGAGAUGUGGAGGAACACCAGUGGCGAAGGCGACUCUCUGGUCUGUAACUGACGCUGAGGAGCGAAAGCGUGGGGAGCGAACAGGAUUAGAUACCCGAGUAGUCCCUGUCUCUUAUAC
This 301-nucleotide ribosomal RNA is filed under the name uncultured bacterium. RNAcentral's name for it is "partial 16S ribosomal RNA". It matches the Rfam family "Bacterial small subunit ribosomal RNA", at positions 509 to 807 of the family's 1533-position model. The record is from RNAcentral.